Molecule: long non-coding RNA, 731 nt
Organism: Cyprinodon variegatus (sheepshead minnow)
Lineage: Eukaryota; Metazoa; Chordata; Actinopteri; Cyprinodontiformes; Cyprinodontidae
Exons: 5
Source: RefSeq, a predicted model, not a curated record
AGGUGAAGAAAACCACAAUGACACAGUGACAGGAACAGACUUGAGUUGCUGUUCCGCCACAAAAACACGUCGACUAGUCCGACUGAAGGGAUGGAAACAUUCUUCUUCAUCUCAUCUGCUCUAAACCAGCUGCUCUGACUGUGAGUCCCAGCAGAUCUCAGUUCUUUCAAUAUGACUGUGUCUCUGAGCUAUGAGGAGAAUAGCAGCUCUGCUGGAUGGACUGUAUGAAGGAACACAACCAGAGAAACCAGGACUCAGAGUGGGAAUGGAUGGGGGAAACCAGCUGGUUCAUCAGCUUCCUGUUCACAUGACAGUGGGGUUUACUGGUGUUGUUCGUCCAGAGAGGGAGCAGCCAGCAGCAGCAUCCAGCUCACUGUCACUGAUAGAGAGGAUGUGUGAUGGGUCGUCUCAGCACCAUCUAAGAGAGAGAGAAGACGUUGACACCCAGAGCAGGAAGGCAGGCUUUCAGUGCCUUCUAGAACAGCAGUGAGAAACAUCCCAGACCCUGAGAGGAACCAUGCUGCAGCCUCUGCUCUGGGAGUCCAUAACCUCUGUCCCUGGGUCCAUCAUCCUCUGUUUACCGACCGUAUCUCUGUGUGUUGUGCUUUUACUGGUUCUACUGGUGAGGCAACGUCUGGGUAACGAGUCAAAUGAUAAGGAAGCCGAUUGUAUCACACAUGUACACAUGAAGUUCCUCGUGGGUGAACUUCAGAAAACCAUGUCGAGCAAAG